Molecule: long non-coding RNA, 1176 nt
Filed under: Lathyrus oleraceus (garden pea)
Lineage: Eukaryota; Viridiplantae; Streptophyta; Magnoliopsida; Fabales; Fabaceae
Description: Pisum sativum (pea) long non-coding RNA (PSAT_LNC023849)
Source: RNAcentral
CGAAUGUUGAUCGAGAUGAAGAUGAAGCUCUGCACUCGUGCAUUGCUGAUUGCAAUGAAGAACAGAGAUUUGUGUUUGUGUACAUUGCGUCGAAGGAUGAAGUAUGAGGAUUUGUGUUUGUGAUGAAGAUCGAGAUGUUAUUGCAGAAUGAAGCUUCCUCUCGAUUUCCCGUUACGAUUCAGUGCAAGGCCUUCAUAGCGAAUUGAGAUGUUUUUGCCGUUACUCCCUUCCUUCAAUCUCCUUUCGAUUUCUCCUUCUUCCUGUUUUUUCGAUUUUUGAUCUUCUUUUGAAGAUGUCUUCUUCUUCGAUUCCAAUUUUCUUUUCUAUUUUCUUCUUUUCUUCCUAUUUCUGUUGCCCUUUUGUUCUGAUUCAGUUUUGGUUGUAGCAGGGCUUCGUGUUGUUGAUGAUGGAAGUGGCAAUUUUGGUGAAAGAUCCCGUGUUGAAAUGGAAGAUUGAGUCAAAUUCUUUUGAUGCCGAGUGAAACUCAGGGUCUUCUGUUGUAAGGUGGUAUUGAAGUGUUAUUCUGUUAUGAGGGUUGUUAGAGGUUAGCUUGGGAUUUUUUGUUGAUGGUUUUGUUGAGCUGAGGGUGGUUGAAGGUGUGGAGGAAUGAAGGUUUUUUCGGUGUUGGAGGUCGUUACAGGCUGGCUUAAGAAGUUGGUUAUGGAGAAGUUGUUAGAAGUUCAAAGUAAACAAUUAUAUCAGUUUUUCCGUUAUCAGUUGGUUGUGAUUCAGUUGAGUUUGUUAGGUGGUUACCGUUAACCAUCGAUUUUGUUACAUGUUUUUUAUUGAAUUCUGUCACAGGUUAUCUCACUGUUAUGUGAGGUUGGUUAUAUGUUGUUAUUGUUUCCGUUAGAAUUAUGUGGAGAAAUGGUUGAAGAGUGAAGCCAAUGGUUAGGAGCUAAUUUGGUUCUGUUGGUGGAAUUGGAAAAAAUGCUUAUUGUUUUAUGCAGGUUAGGCUUAUACUGUAGAAAAUGAAAGGCUUGAAUCAUGUUUGGACUUUUGUGCAGGUUGAAUGCUACAAAUUGAAAUUUGGAUUGGCUCAAUUUGGUUUGCAUUGCUUGGAACUAGAUGCAAGGAUUGCUUGAUGGACUUUUGCUCAUGGCGAUUUGAAAUAGGCUUUGUAGGGUUUACGGUUAUGAUUGAAUGUAACUUAGGUCAUGUGGUUUCAUGUUAUGU